This is a long non-coding RNA of Mesocricetus auratus (golden hamster), 543 nucleotides long. RefSeq lists it as uncharacterized. The record is from RefSeq and is a predicted model, not a curated record. The transcript has 3 exons. NCBI's taxonomy places the organism in Eukaryota, Metazoa, Chordata, Mammalia, Rodentia, Cricetidae.
ACCAUCUGUAACUCCAGUUCUAGGGGAUCUGACACCUUCUUCUGGCCUCUCAACAGGAAGCCAAAGGAAGACAAGAGAAAGGCAAGAUGUGGCUGUCUGUUCAACAGAAAGCACUGUCUCAGCUACUCUAUGAGGACAUGCUGCACACAAGCUGGCCCAGCCUUAUGCACAGGCUGCACCUGCAGGAGAUAAAGACUAGCCGAAAACAGCGAUGGUGUUGACAGCAAUUCCCUAGAAUCUUCAUCUUCUGACUUGGCUCCAGUUCCUUCCUCCUGGCUUCUGGCUCUGUCGUCACCUCAGUUACUUGAACCUUGGCUUCGCUAAUCCAACAGGCCAGGGAGGUUUCGAAACCUCAGGAAGGCCAGCCUCACCUAGAAGACUUCCCAAGCCCCUAAUGCUGGUCCCUAGUGCAAGAGUUUUUAAUUAAGUUGUUGACCUGGAAUUCAAAUUCAAUUUGGAAUGCUGUAAUCUUUGCAUGUGUGCAUGUUCAUGUGUACUUGUACACAGGUGUAGGGGGCACACAAGCCUACAAGUCUGUUUGUG